Molecule: ribosomal RNA, 253 nt
Filed under: uncultured bacterium
Lineage: Bacteria
Description: partial 16S ribosomal RNA
Rfam family: Bacterial small subunit ribosomal RNA
Source: RNAcentral
UACGUAGGGGGCAAGCGUUGUCCGGAUUUAUUGGGCGUAAAGAGCGUGUAGGCGGCCAUACAGGUCCGUUGUGAAAACUGGAGGCUUAACCUCCAGACGUCGAUGGAAACCGUAUGGCUAGAGUCCGGAAGAGGAGAGUGGAAUUCCUGGUGUAGCGGUGAAAUGCGCAGAUAUCAGGAAGAACACCCGUGGCGAAGGCGGCUCUCUGGGACGGUACUGACGCUGAAACGCGAAAGCGUGGGGAGCGAACAGG